RNAcentral lists this ribosomal RNA (429 nucleotides) under Actinomycetes bacterium. Its description in RNAcentral is "Actinobacteria bacterium partial 16S ribosomal RNA". It matches the Rfam family "Bacterial small subunit ribosomal RNA", at positions 355 to 776 of the family's 1533-position model. The record is from RNAcentral. Lineage: Bacteria; Bacillati; Actinomycetota; Actinomycetes.
UAGGGAAUCUUCCGCAAUGGGCGAAAGCCUGACGGAGCAACGCCGCGUGAGUGAUGAAGGUCUUCGGAUCGUAAAACUCUGUUAUUAGGGAAGAACAAAUGUGUAAGUAACUAUGCACGUCUUGACGGUACCUAAUCAGAAAGCCACGGCUAACUACGUGCCAGCAGCCGCGGUAAUACGUAGGUGGCAAGCGUUAUCCGGAAUUAUUGGGCGUAAAGCGCGCGUAGGCGGUUUUUUAAGUCUGAUGUGAAAGCCCACGGCUCAACCGUGGAGGGUCAUUGGAAGCUGGAAAACUUGAGUGCAGAAGAGGAAAGUGGAAUUCCAUGUGUAGCGGUGAAAUGCGGAGAGAUAUGGAGGAACACCAGUGGCGAAGGCGACUUUCUGGUCUGUAACUGACGCUGAUGUGCGAAAGCGUGGGGAUCAAACAGG